GAGUUUGAUCCUGGUCAGGAGAAGGCGGGCGGCGUGCUUAACACAUGCAAGUCGAACGGGAACCUUUAUUUCGGUAAAGGUGAGAGUGGCAAACGGGUGAGUAACACGUAGGCAACCUGCCGACAGGAUGGGGACAACAUUCCGAAAGGAAUGCUAAUACCGAAUGGAGUCCGGAGAUGGCAUCAUCUCCGGAUAAAAGAUGGCCUCUGAAUAUGCUAUCGCCUAUCGAUGGGCCUGCGUCUGAUUAGCCAGUUGGCGGGGUGACGGCCCACCAAAGCGACGAUCAGUAGCCGGUCUGAGAGGAUGAACGGCCACAUUGGGACUGAGACACGGCCCAGACUCCUACGGGAGGCAGCAGUGGGGAAUCUCCCACAAUGGGCGAAAGCCUGAUGGAGCAACGCCGCGUGAGUGAAGAAGGUCUUCGGAUCGUAAAGCUCUGUUGCACGGGACGAAAACCGAGCUUGAAAAUAUUGAGUUUGGGUGACGGUACCGAGCGAGGAAGCCACGGCUAACUACGUGCCAGCAGCCGCGGUAAUACGUAGGUGGCGAGCGUUGUCCGGAAUUAUUGGGCGUAAAGGGAGCGCAGGCGGACAUAUAAGUCCAUCUUAAAAGUGCGGGGCUCAACCCCGUGAGGGGAUGGAAACUGUAUGCCUUGAGUGCAGGAGAGGAAAGCGGAAUUCCCAGUGUAGCGGUGAAAUGCGUAGAUAUUGGGAGGAACACCAGCGGCGAAGGCGGCUUUCUGGACUGUAACUGACGCUGAGGCUCGAAAGCCAGGGGAGCGAACGGUAUUAGAUACCCCGGUAGUCCUGCCGUAAACGAUGAAUGCUAGGUGUAGGAGGUAUCGACCCCUCCUGUGCCGGAGUUAACGCAAUAGCAUCCCGCCUGGGAGUACGGUCGCAGACUGAAACUCAAAGGAUUUGACGGGGGCCUCGUCACAGCGGUGGA
This 945-nucleotide ribosomal RNA is filed under the name uncultured bacterium. RNAcentral describes it as "bacterial SSU rRNA". It matches the Rfam family "Bacterial small subunit ribosomal RNA", at positions 9 to 936 of the family's 1533-position model. The record is from RNAcentral.